This 374-nucleotide ribosomal RNA is filed under the name uncultured organism. RNAcentral describes it as "partial 16S ribosomal RNA". It matches the Rfam family "Bacterial small subunit ribosomal RNA", at positions 527 to 896 of the family's 1533-position model. The record is from RNAcentral.
GUAGGUGGCAAGCGUUGUCCGGAAUUAUUGGGCGUAAAGCGCGCGCAGGCGGUUCUUUAAGUCUGAUGUGAAAGCCCACGGCUCAACCGUGGAGGGUCAUCGGAAACUGGAGAACUUGAGUACAGAAGAGGAAAGCGGAAUUCCACGUGUAGCGGUGAAAUGCGUAGAGAUGUGGAGGAACACCAGUGGCGAAGGCGGCUUUCUGGUCUGUAACUGACGCUGAGGCGCGAAAGCGUGGGGAGCAAACAGGAUUAGAUACCCUGGUAGUCCACGCCGUAAACGAUGAGUGCUAAGUGUUAGGGGGGUUUUCCGCCCCCCUUAGUGCUGCAGCUAACGCAUUAAGCACUCCGCCUGGGAGUACGGCCGCAAGGCUG